RNAcentral lists this ribosomal RNA (497 nucleotides) under uncultured bacterium. RNAcentral describes it as "partial 16S ribosomal RNA". It matches the Rfam family "Bacterial small subunit ribosomal RNA", at positions 28 to 507 of the family's 1533-position model. The record is from RNAcentral.
GAUGAACGCUGGCGGCGUGCCUAAUACAUGCCAGUCGAGCGAACAGACGAGGAGCUUACUCCUCUGACGUUAGCGGCGGACGGGUGAGUAACACGUGGAUAACCUACCUAUAAGACUGGGAUAACUUCGGGAAACCGGAGCUAAUACCGGAUAACAUGUUGAACCGCAUGGUUCAACAGUGAAAGACGGUCUUGCUGUCACUUAUAGAUGGAUCCGCGUCGCAUUAGCUAGUUGGUAAGGUAACGGCUUACCAAGGCAACGAUGCGUAGCCGACCUGAGAGGGUGAUCGGCCACACUGGAACUGAGGCACGGUCCAGACUCCUACGGGAGGCAGCAGUAGGGAAUCUUCCGCAAUGGGCGAAAGCCUGACGGAGCAACGCCGCGUGAGUGAAGAAGGUCUUCGGAUCGUAAAGCUCUGUUAUUAGGGAAGAACAAAUGUGUAAGUAACUAUGCACGUCUUGACGGUACCUAAUCAGAAAGCCACGGCUAACUACGUG